GUUAAUACAAGUAGAAUAUAGCGUUUCAUGUUAGAACUUUGUUUUAAGAUCUUUUAUCAUAAUUUUCCCUUCUUCCCAAAUAGAAGGAUUAUUAUAAGUCAUUUUGAUUAGACUGUCAAAAGCUUCUUUGUUGUAUUUUGCAGAGAGUAUGAAUAAUCUAUAUCAUGCUUUUAAGGAGAAAGAAUUUGAAAUUAGGCAGGUUAGUAUUUGGCCAAACAGAUUCAGUGUGCUGGUAUUCAUUUUGAAAACAAUAUCGCUUUAGAAAUGUCACGUGCAAAAAAAUCUAUGUAAUGGUGGGAUUCAUUUAUGUUAUUUUUGGUAUUUGAGGUUUUACUGUUGAGAGAAUGUUGAUAAUAUGACUAAUGGCAUCAUGAUAAUAUUUCGGGCUAAAGAAAACAAGUUACAAUUACUUAUUUUAAAGAAGUAUAUAUAUUUUGUACUUUGUAAUAGUGUGUACUUGGUAAAGUAUUCACAGUGAAACCCCAUCUUUUUGGUAACUAUUUUUACCAUUAGAAUGAAAUAGCAUUUGGAAACAGUAGGGUAGUUUUCAUCUGCAGGAUUAAAAAGAAUCUGAACAGAAAAUGGAUUCAUAUCAUCUUCUUUUGGGGUACCAAACGUAGAAAAAUAUAUAGCAGUUGAUUUAUUAUAAGUGGGUUGAAUUUUCUCUCCUGGUGGGCUUUUGAAACCUUUAGUUGCUGUUCUUAUCCUUGCUGUGUGAAUAUCAUUUUUAUAUCACUUUUUGUUAAAAGGAAUUUCCCAUGAAAGUCCACCCAAAAUAGCCUGGAAUCUGAUUAUUCUCCUUCCAUGAAAAUUUUGAUGGGUUUGGGUCAGUUUUAUACCUCUCUUCAGUUCAUUUGAUUUUUACCAGGUUCUGUAAUGACAGAAUUGUUCAUGAAUGGAGAGGACAUUCUAGCCUUCAGGGCCAGACAGGAUUUUAUCCGAAUGACACAAAAGAACCACAAGGAGGGUAAUAAAAUCCCAUGCCAUUAGGAAGGCUAUGAGAUGGUGAAUUUUUAUGGUUAUAGUAGGUGAUCAGGUAAACAUUUUUACCUUUCCCUCUUGGAAAAUUUAAGUUGAAAAAGAGGGUAGAGGAGAAAAAGCAUUAAAAAAAAAAACAAACAACAACAACGAAAAACCUUCCCAAGUACUUACUUUAGGAUGGUUUUAAAUUUUUAUAUUUCUGAAUUCAUAUGAAUUUUCUCUAGCCAAAACCUAUUUGUCUUAAUAAUAAAGAAGCUAGAAUGUGAUUAGGACCUUUAAGGUAAAUAUCAGAAAAAAACAACAAAUCCUAUAUUUUAAAAUUCAAACACUAUUGUGUUUUCAUUCCAUAAAUGUAAUAAAUCAUAUUUUGUACAAUCACUCACAAUUGCUAUAAUAUUUGGACUGUGAGUCCUAAGGAGCUUAUCUCAGACUUUAGAUUGGUGUUGACUAUAGGUAAAGAUUUUGCCAUUUGUUUUAGAAAAAAAAAAUUGCUCUUAAAUGCUUGCUUCUUUUCAGCUAUAAAUAAAUUAAUAUUUAUUUUGAUUUAAUAAUUUCAUAUAAAUAUUUGACUUUUCCCAUAACAAUAUAGAAG
This 1573-nucleotide long non-coding RNA is filed under the name Marmota monax (woodchuck). The record is from RNAcentral. Lineage: Eukaryota; Metazoa; Chordata; Mammalia; Rodentia; Sciuridae.